Long non-coding RNA from Panicum virgatum (switchgrass), 698 nucleotides. RefSeq lists it as uncharacterized. NCBI's taxonomy places the organism in Eukaryota, Viridiplantae, Streptophyta, Magnoliopsida, Poales, Poaceae. The transcript has 2 exons. The record is from RefSeq and is a predicted model, not a curated record.
UGUCUUGAUCUUAUGUUUCUGAAUUGUAUGUAGGCUAGGCCAAUUUGUUGGUAUGCCAGAUUUAAAGUGAAGGGCUUAAGCAUCAUCCACACUGUAUGCUUAAGCAUCAUCCUGCAAAUCCUGUCCUCUACUGUAAUAUACGCAAUGGGAGCAGAUGAACAGUAUAUUGAUGAUUGGAAGGAAGCCCUUAAGAUUCAACCCAACUAUACAAAUUGUCUUCUAAGAUGUGCAACUUCCUAUUGCUAGAUUGAAAGAUGGGAGGACUCAGUAAAAGAUACGAGGUUCUUACGAGUCAGUGAAUUUCAAAUGGACGAAUCUUUUCAUAUAUAAUUCCAUCUAUUUGUUUUCCUUAUUUUGUUAUUUUUUCCAUCCAUAUAAGAUGUAUCAACUAGAUCAAUUCUUUCCCAUGCUUGUGUAGAAUGCGUGUGAACUUUAUGUUGAAUGUUCCUGUAAUAUAGGAAUAUGGGUGGUCUUGUAGUCAUUGAACAUUUAAAAUCAAAGUACCAAAGGAUGUACGUAUGUUAUUUAUGCCUUUAGUUUCAUAAUCUGCUGACACUGGCUUUCCGAAUCUGUAGAUACAAUUGUAAUCCCUUUGUUGAAGUAGCAGUUAAAAGAAAAGAAAAACUAGCGUUCGAUUUGUACAUGAAUCAUACAAUCUCUGUUGUUCCACAUGAGCCUUAUUAUGUUUUCCUGCUACA